RNAcentral lists this ribosomal RNA (372 nucleotides) under uncultured bacterium. Its description in RNAcentral is "bacterial SSU rRNA". It matches the Rfam family "Bacterial small subunit ribosomal RNA", at positions 790 to 1167 of the family's 1533-position model. The record is from RNAcentral.
GUAGUCCACGCCCUAAACGAUGUCUACUAGUUGUCGGGUCUUAAUUGACUUGGUAACGCAGCUAACGCGUGAAGUAGACCGCCUGGGGAGUACGGUCGCAAGAUUAAAACUCAAAGGAAUUGACGGGGACCCGCACAAGCGGUGGAUGAUGUGGAUUAAUUCGAUGCAACGCGAAAAACCUUACCUACCCUUGACAUGUCAGGAACCUCCGAGAGAUUGGAGGGUGCCCGAAAGGGAACCUGAACACAGGUGCUGCAUGGCUGUCGUCAGCUCGUGUCGUGAGAUGUUGGGUUAAGUCCCGCAACGAGCGCAACCCUUGUCAUUAGUUGCUACGAAAGGGCACUCUAAUGAGACUGCCGGUGACAAACCGGA